RNAcentral lists this microRNA precursor (189 nucleotides) under Oryza brachyantha (malo sina). RNAcentral's name for it is "MIR812 microRNA precursor family". It matches the Rfam family "MIR812 microRNA precursor family". Lineage: Eukaryota; Viridiplantae; Streptophyta; Magnoliopsida; Poales; Poaceae. The record is from Rfam by way of RNAcentral.
UUUGCAUGGUCUAUGUUCAGCGUUUAACUAUCCGUCUUAUUUUUAAAAGAUUAUAAUUAAUAAUUUUGUUAUUACUAGAUGAUAAAACAUAAAUAAUAAUCUAUGUGCGAUUUAUUUCAAAUUUUUUAUAAAUAUUUUAAAUAAGACGAAUGAUUAAACGUUGCACACAUACCCAGCUGACCACUUAGA